GACGAACGCUGGCGGCGUGCCUAACACAUGCAAGUCGAACGGAAAGGCCCUGCUUUUGUGGGGUGCUCGAGUGGCGAAGGGGUGAGUAACACGUGAGUAACCUGUCCCUGACUUAGGGAUAUCUUCAGGAAACUGGGGCUAAUACCGGAUAGGAGCUCUUGCUGCAUGGUGGGGGUUGGAAAGAUUCGGCGGUUGGGGAUGGAUUGGCGGCUUAUCAGCUGGAUGGUGGGGUAGUGGCUUACCAAGUUUUUGACGGGUAGCCGGCCUGGGAGGGUGACCGGGCACAUUGGGACUGAGAUACGGCCCAGACUCGUACGGGAGGCAGCGGUGGAGAGUAUUACACAGUAAGCGGAAGCCAGAUGCGACAACGCCGCGUUCGGGAUGACGUGCUUCGGGUUGUGAACCACUUUCGCCUGAAACGAAGCGUGAGUGACGGUAAUGGGUAAAGAAGCACCGGCUAACUACGUG
Molecule: ribosomal RNA, 468 nt
Filed under: uncultured bacterium
Lineage: Bacteria
Description: partial 16S ribosomal RNA
Rfam family: Bacterial small subunit ribosomal RNA
Source: RNAcentral